This 66-nucleotide transfer RNA is filed under the name Chorosoma macilentum. Its description in RNAcentral is "tRNA-Ile". The record is from RNAcentral. Lineage: Eukaryota; Metazoa; Arthropoda; Insecta; Hemiptera; Rhopalidae. RNAcentral also lists the same sequence under 1 other name.
AAUAAGGUGCCUGAAUAAAAGGGCUAUCUUGAUAGGAUAGAUCAUGCAAUAAUAUUGCUCUUAUUA